This 423-nucleotide ribosomal RNA is filed under the name uncultured bacterium. RNAcentral's name for it is "bacterial SSU rRNA". It matches the Rfam family "Bacterial small subunit ribosomal RNA", at positions 958 to 1400 of the family's 1533-position model. The record is from RNAcentral.
AACGCGAAGAACCUUACCAGGGUUUGACAUACAUGUGACAUCCUUCGAAAGAAGGCUCCCUUCGGGGCACAUGAACAGGUGCUGCAUGGCUGUCGUCAGCUCGUGUCGUGAGAUGUUGGGUUCAGUCCCGCAACGAGCGUAACCCCUAUCGGUAGUUACAUUUUCUAUCGAGACCGCCACUCUAGGGUGGAGGAAGGAGGGGAUGACGUCAAGUCAGCACGGCCCUUACAUCCUGGGCUACACACACGCUACAAUGGCCAGAACAAUGGGCAGCCAACCCGCAAGGGGGAGCCAAUCCCAACAAAACUGGUCCCAGUUCAGAUUGUAGGCUGCAACCCGCCUGCAUGAAGAUGGAGUUGCUAGUAACCGUAGGUCAGCAUACUACGGUGAAUACGUUCCCGGGCCUUGUACACACCGUGUCGA